CUCCCAUCUUAUUCCCAUAUCAGCAGGAAAAUUCACUCCAAUCAUCUCGCCAUUCUACACUUGGGAAAUCAGGUUUGCUUCAAUCUACCAUCCUUGAAUAUAUGCCCCACAUCUUGUUUCUGCGUCCUAAUCUUAUUAAGCUUGUAAUUAGUAGUUAGUGCAAGAUCGAAAAGGAGCUAUUGGCAAAACACCAUCCGCACCUGCUGAUAAAAUCACCGUGGGACAAGUGGCGCCUAAUCAUGAAAUAGCAGCAGAUUCAAUUGACAGUGAGAGAACAAUCAGUGAGGGUUAUGUGGGGAUCAUGUAUGGUGGUAGCCAAACCCACGAUGGCAACCUGGAAGGAGAAUCUUCUAUGGUACUGCUAGCAACAGAUUCAAGUGACAGCGAGAGAACAAUCAGUGAGGGUUAUGUGGGGAUCCUGUAUGGUGGUAGCCAAACCCAGGAUGGAGACCUAGAGGGAGAAUCUGCUAUGGUAUUGCCUGCUGUAGGAGAGAAUACCACGGCGAGAUCUAACAGUCAUGGUUAUAUGCGCAGCUUGGAAAUUGAUUCUGCCUCUCGUACUGAGAGGCAUGCUGCCAGGUCAGAUUCUGUUCUAGUGGCACAGUGCCGAGACUGCAUACAAAUUUACCCUGAGUGGCUGGAGAAAAUUGAUUCAGGCAAAAAGGUGUGGACAGCUCUCAAACAAUUUCAGGCAAGUGGGAAGCAUGAAGAGGUUAGUAUAUACACAUGUUCUGGUGUGCUCUGUCAUCAAAUAAUUUUCAUUGUGUGUUAAUCAUCUCAUAACAUAAGGAGUGUUUGCUUGAUGGGCAUUCAGACCAAAUGAUGAACGAAUUAGAUCCUAGGUUCUCCAAAAGAUGACAUUGUGUUUUGCUUCAAUUACCUGAUAAAUUUUCAGCCUUUGCAUCAAAAUGAUUUUAUGCAUUUGUUAUCACACUAACUUGUAUUUUUUUAAGCACAACCAUGCAUAUAUGUAAAAAAAACUCAUGGCCACUUGUGUGGUUGAUAGAAAUCAGUUAACAUCUCAAUUUCCUCAUGUGCUAUUGUAUGACUACGGAGGUUUUUUCUAACAUGCUCCCUCUUACCUCCCCUUUUCACAUGAGACGUAAGAGUAUAAAGUAAAUCUGAGUCAUUGAGUGCAUUAAGUAGUGGACUUGACUAAAUCUUACCUUCUUAACUCCCAUGUGAAAAGAUGGGGUAAGAGGAAGCAUGUUAAAAUGGCUCAUGAAUGUGGUGGUGCCGCCAGUGGCGGAGCUUGAGCAUAAUCCAAGAGGGCCAUUACUUGAAGGGGAGCAAAUUAGAUGGGAAGGAGGGGCAAAUAUCUAGUUUAAACACUAGUUAGGCUUAAAAUAUAGUAUAUUCAUUGAUGGGUGCAAAAAUUAAGGGGGGCCAUGGCCCCUAUUGGUCUACAUGAAGCUCCGCCACUUGUUGUUGCACAUUCUACCGUGUUGUUAUAGACACUGACUGAAUCUUGUUUUUGCACUAUAUCAAAAUGUACUAGCAGUCAUAAGACACCAAUCUGUCAGGAUCUCGGCUUUUGGCCUUCUGCUAGGAUGCACUAAAGAUAUUGAUAAGUCUCGCCAUUCCUGGAUGUUGUGAAGGUUACCUGACUGGAACAGAUUGUUCUGGAGAAGGAUAUGGCGGCGUGGCAAACCUAAAGUAGCAAUGAUGCAACAAAUGGAAUGUGAUCGAUAAUGGUAUUCUCUAUGGGUGCACACCAGAGAGCAUACAAAUUAGGGUCUGCAUGGACGACCAAAACACGUGGCAUUUUUUUAUCAACAUACCAAUAGGGUCUGCAUGGACGACCAAAACACAUGGCAUUUUUUUAUCAACUAUCCCAUCCUUUUUCCUUUGAUCUACUAACAUUGGUUUCAAGUUAUUGUAGAAGUUUCUUGUAGUGACUGGUUAAAAUAAUUCACACAUGUUCGGCUAUUCAUGCUAUGUUUUACAAUCUGUUCCGAUGAUGAAUAUCCAUUUUUCCAAAAAUAGUGCAUCUACCUCUGACUCUUUCGCAUUAAACUAUACAAUUGAAUUCGCUGAAGAAGGGAAAACCUCCCACUUUCAACCAAUAUGAGUUUGAUCUAAACCAGAUCAUACUACGGGCUGGGUCGGGUUUGGGUCGGGCUUCACAAAGCCUGGAGUCAACAAUCCAAGCCCAAGCCCGGCUUGGCCCGGCUAAAAGCACAUCGACAAUGGCUUCUCAAUUUAACUAAUUAUAUUUGGGAUAUUAAAAUGAUAUUAUAUACCUAUAUUUUGAAUAAAAUAUACAUUUGUUGCCAUUUCGGGCUUUUGGGCCGCGCUUCGGGCGAGAAAUUGAAGCCCAAGCCUACCCCAGAUGUCGGGCUUUGGGCUCGGGCCUCUUGGCCGGGUAGUCCAUGAACAGUUUUAGUUUGAUCUAUUCACUCACAUUUUGAUCCUCGUUCAUUAUAUCAUUUAACCAUAAUUCAUAUGAACAUGCACCACGUGAAUAUAAUAAAGAAAAUGGGACAAUUUGUAGUAUACAACGCCUUAUGGUGCGAUAUCACAGGAACAUUUUUCUCCUUGAUUACAGUGUCAAAUCAUAUAUUAUAUGACAAAUUAAGUAUAUUGUUUUGCUUAUUUCAGUAUUACCUUCAUAAGGAAUAUAGUCACAAAUUUUGCUCCAAACGCAACGUUAUUGAGUUCAUACGAAAUGGAACUGUGAAAGGGAAGCCAGUUCAGAAGGUGCCUAAAUACUUGACUUUCAAACAUAUAGUAAUUAUGCGAAGAUGUAUAUGUUUUUUGUAUUAACUUUAAAGUAUUAAUUUGACACGGUAUCCUAUUUUUGCACAGAGAUCAUCUGAUACUUCUACGAACAAUCUUCAGGGUAUGUCCAGUUGGCCAUGCAUUUGGAUAUUAUUUUGUCUACUAUUAUUACUAUAGAGAGAAAUCUAACUGAAACUGAAAUAUAAUAAAUAUUCAUGGAGAGAAAAAUAGACAUUAAUGUCCACAUACACAACACAAUUAGCCAGUACUAUCCUAGUUUACAUGAAUUAAUAUUUGCAAUGACAUUUAGGUUACUCAUGACAUGAUAAAGAAAAAGUUUUUUUUGCGAGGUAAGAUAAGGUUUUAUAUAACUGUUCAUGGGGACCUCCUCAUGGUUGCAGAUACAUAGUUUUACAGUGCUUCAUGAAAUAGUUGCAUAUCAUCAUGUCUAAAAGAAGAAUCAUGACGGACACAACUUCAAGAAUUCUUCUUGUAAAAUAACAUAAUUUGUAUAUACCUCAUAGAGGAUGUAACUUGUUGGUAGCAUUUAAUAUUGUGACAUACUCGCCAUCUUUUGUGCCAGCAUUAUUUGGGUGAUGAUUUAAUAUCCAAAAGCAUACAUCAAGGUAGUUAUGUGUAAUGAUAUUCUUGUGAAAGUAACUCUCAUAGUGUAUACUUGCAUAUAUGUAUUGUUCUAUUGUAUUCUCACAGUUAAUCCUUUUUCUUGAUGUUUUGUUUGUUUAUUUAUGUUUAGAGCAAGAUUAUAAAUUAAGCUGAGCAUAAUUUCUGCAGAUUAUAGAUGGCCCACUAAAAGACAAAGGACGAAGGCGCAAACUUCAAGUAAUUCUUCUUGCCACAUAGGUUUUCCUUAUUGUGCGAGGAUACCACUUGUAACUGCCUUCAGUCAUCUAUGUCAGUAGUAUUUUGAGAAGAAUUUCCUUACAAAAUGCAACGACUCAAACAAUCAGAUUUUUCAUGAUGAUUCCUAAUUGUAUAACCAAUAAGCUUAACACACCUUCCUAUUUUAGAGUUGUUAUCUUAAUAAAUAUAUACUAUCUAUUAUUAAUGUUGUUGUUGGGUGAAGAACAUUUGUUGCUCAUGGUUAGAAUGUAGAAUUUUAUUAACACAACAACCUAGAGCGAAUGUGGAGGCCAAUAUAGAUUGAAACCAUUAAUUCAUAUUAAAAUGGUCAUGAUUUCUUAUUUUUAUUUGACAUAGAUGUUUGUGACUUGUUUGAAUUAAUGUGUUCUUCCAUUAUUUGAUAUUUCUAUAUUCAUACUAUUUUUAUGAAAUGUGCAGCUAGUUUGUCAACCGGGGCACGAACAACCACAACUUCUACAAAGCUUCCACAUGGUUUCAUCUAGUAUCAUGCGGAAGACAUUGAGACAAUCAAGAUUACUUGAGCAACCUGAAUUAUGUUAGUUGUUACCUGCUUUCAAACGAAUGUGUCCUCUCAUAGUAUGUAUGUACUUCUGUUGUUGAGGAAUUUAUAUCAUUAGACAGUUCUAUUUUUAAUAAUUAUUGAUUAAUGGGUACAUACCUUCAAUCCUAGAAGACUGCCAGAUAGCCAGUCAAGGAAGCGAUUUGUUAUUGAACAGUGCAUAAUAGGGACAUUUUUACAUUCAAAGGAACAUCGUAGGAAUAAUUUGGUAUUUCGUGAAGAUUUUCCAGUCCCCUGCCCCAACCUACUUGAGACAGUAUGAGUGCUGACACACACAUUUGUAACGUAUGAGCAAGCUAGUGCAGUAGCUUCAGUCACAUGCUCUGGAAGCCCAUUUUGGGUCUUCCUUCAGAAGGCUCAACAAGGCCAUCACCACACCAUUCUAGUUAGUUACUUUUGCAAUGAUAUAUGUCCGUAAGAAAAUAAGAAGCUAGGGUUCUAGUAGACUUAUAAUGCUCUAACAGCACCAUGUUGGAUAUGCCCGCACAAAUAAAAUAACAUGAGUCGAGUCUAUUUUGUAAGCACAUAUCUUGUCACCAGUCAACUACUAGUACAGUAAGAGCAUCAAAGAGGAAUUCAUUUCAUAUAGAAUAGUCGCAUACAUAUACUUCUGUUCGGCACAUACUGCUCAUUAUCAUGGACAAUGAUGUAGCUAGCUAAAAUGGAGCACGUGGCUAUAUAUAAUGUAAGGAGGGAAGCUCCAGGGACGAGCUCGACAAACAGAACUAACCUGCUCUUGCAAAGAACCAGUAAGCCUUGCUACAUUGCCACCUGCAUGCUGCAGGGCAUCGCGUCCACCAGCUACUGUGGUAUGUCGCAACUCUGUCCUCUCAUCUUUUCACCGAAGCGGUCGUUGGCGAAUUCUAAUCUUUCUGGAACAACAUUCGUAAUUCCCUGCACUAGAAGGUCAUCAUGAUGCAUCGGCACAUCUGAAUUCUAGCCACAUUAACAAAAUCUUUUCCCAAACCAAAUUAAGGGAGAAAUGAGAAAUGAAGGAGAGCACCAAAUAGUAAGUUAGGUUACACAUAUAUAUAGAAAUGUCGUUCAUAGUAAAAACAACCGGAAGUGUAUCAAUGUUGUUUGCUUAGGUGGCUGAAACCAAGGUCCUAUUCACUCGGAUGAUGAACCUACUAAAUAAAAGGUUUCUCAAAAUCGCCUCACAACUAGAGUCGAGUAACACAGUCAUGAUCCCAUGGGGUUAUAGGAUAACGACAUGCAAAUGUGGUUAACACAAUCAGCUCUCUCAUUAAGAUUUGUCUUAUUUUUUAUCACUACGGGAAAAUUCAUGUUUGCCGAGUGUCAGUGUCUUUCCUGAGUGCAUUUUGUCGGGCACUCGGCAAACAUAUGUUUGCCGAGUGUAAUCCUCAAACACGGUAAACAGGUGCUUUGCCGUCUGUCGUGGUAAAAAACACUGGCAAAAAAAUUAUAGUUGCUGAAAGGUGCUUUGUUGAGUGUCUUGGAAAUAACUCUCGGCAAAAUAGUGCAACACGGGCAAAGAUGUGCUUUCCCGAGUGCUACACUCGGCAAAAGGGGGUAUGCACUGCGCUCACUGUUUUGGCUGUCGAGAUUGCAUACAACCUCGGAUGAAGAUGAUCCAAAAAUCAAAGUUUUACAUUUCGACAAGAUGAAUAAUUUUCAUGUUGAGGACCUUUUCAUUUUAGGCCAUAUUAUUUACACUUUUUGCCAUGCCAAAAUAUGGUCUCAAAUGAAUAAGGUGGUGGUCAUAUUUAUUGCAUAGUUUAUGACUAUGGGCCUAACCUUGGCAUUUAUGUGCAUCUUGCCAUUACAAACAAUGUUGCCAAAUAGAGUUUCCAACAUUUCAUACAAAAAAAUUCUAUUUUUUCAAGUGUAAAAAAUUGAUACUUUUGUGAAGCUGCUAAAAAUAUCGAGUGCAACAUGGCAUCACUCCAAUAUUCACAAAAAUAUAUCGUAUUUUUUUAGAAAAUUCCCAUUUUUUGUGGAUUUUCUAGAUUUCUAGCUACUUUCACAUAUUUAAAUGACUUUAUUAUGAUUCCACGAAAUUAAUUCAAUUUGAACUGUAAUUGUGUGAUAGCUCUGUCCUAGAAAUUUGUAAAAAAUACUUUUAGGUACACAAGUAGUCAUUACAUGGAAAACCCACUUAGAGUUUGAGAGAUUCAACCCCUUGACAUGAAUAGCCAUGGCGGCCACUCUCACCCCGUUUUGGAAAAAAUGAAACAAAAAGGAUACAAGUUCAAAAAAUGUAAUCCUUUCAUAUGGACUCCUUUUAUGUGUACUAGUGUGGAUGAAAAUACCAAACUUUCAAUAUGACAGUUUUGAAAGAAAAAUAUCCUGCACAAAUGGGCUAUCUUCUAUGAACAUUCAUGGCUUUCAAGUCAAAUGACCAAGGUGAUGACCAUAUUCAUUGCAUAGUUUAUUAUAAUGUGCCCAAAUUAGACAUAUAGGUGAACCUUGCCAUUACAAAUAAUGUUGCAAAAUAGAGUUUCCAACUUUUUUGUACAAAAAAACAUUUUCUAUUUUCUAAGUGUAAAAAAUGGGUGUUUUUCGUACCAAAAACAGGGUACAAAGUGGCACCACUCCAAUUUUCACAAAAAGUAGACUGUAUUUUAUGGACAAUUCCCAAAGUCUGUAGAUUUAUUUCUAAAAAUAACAAUUGGUGUAUUUUUUAAUAUUUAAUGAAAAUAAUAUUUUUAUUUUUAAUGGGAAGGGAGGAUAUUUAAAGGAUAGCAUGGACAUCUGAGGGUGUACGUUGAAGCGUUGGAGGUGCCUUUAUGUGCCAGUUUACGACAUGCUCAACCAGCAAUGUGGUAGUAUUAAUCAGUAUAUACUUUUAAUUGUAAAAGAAAUCAAUAUAUAAUUUGUUUUGAUUAUUUUAGUAUGCAGGGCAAACUGAAAAUGGAUUUAUUUAGCCAAUUUUUGUGAAAUCACUAAUUAGGAGGUACCUUUUGCAAAGGUCACACCCCACUUUCAUUGGUGCUGACAGGUGGCACAUGGCAUGUGUGCCACUUGUCGCAACAUGGGAAUUUCCUCCUUUGUGUAGAAUCAUUUUUUAAUCUUUGAUCCCUUGAACCGCGCAUUCAAAUCACGACCCAUUUUUAUCUUUGGAUUUCUCGAGCCGAGAUCUUUGAAACUAGGUCGCAUGUUAAUAAGUUUCGAUGAACUUUUUCUUCACGAAAAUCAAAAAUCAAAAAAAUAUGAAAACAAAAAAUACAGAAAAAAAACUAAAAUCACGGUUGUGCUUUUUUACAUUUUUGAGAAGAACAAUUGUGCUCUCCCCUUUUCGGGAAACACGGUUUUGCUUCUUGUGCAAGCAUAGGUCGUGCUUUUCCCUUUUCAAGAAGCACAGGCCAUGCUUCUCUUGCUUCUGGGAAACACAUAUGUGCCUUUCCUUUUCGGGGAGCACAGUUUUCUCUUUUUUCGAAAAAGCAUAGAUGUGUUUUUCCCUCUUCAGAGAAGCACUACCUAUGCAUCUCACCGAAGAACAUGUUAUGCUUUUCCUUUUUUGAGGAAGUAUAGUUGUUCUUUCCCUUUUUACAGGGAAGCAAAAAAUGUGCUUCCUCCUUCUUGGGAAGCUGUGCUUCCCGCGGAAAAGCACCGCCUCAUGAAAAAACAUAAAAAAGUGUUUUUUUAUCAAAACCUAGGGAAAACUAAGAAAAAAAGAAAACAUGUGUAAAAAAUCUAAGGGUGUACCCAGCGCACGACACAUGGCAGCAAUUGGAUGCAUCACUUGAUGCGCUCUCAGGUCCUAAAAGUGACCUCUGUGGAAUCCCCCGAUGAGAUACUUGUUAGAUAGUUGGAGACCUCCUUGCAUCAAAUAGGAGGGUGGCCACAAAGGGGGCGCAUCCUUGUGGGCCGGCCUAGCAGCGUGCUGCACUCUAUUGCAAAUUGCUCAAAACUUAGAAAGUGAUGUGUGAGCAAAGCGCGCAUGGCUAGCCACUCAAGCUAAUGAAACUCUGCUAACUACUAGGCCGUGUUGAACUUUAAAAAGUAGUAUAUGAUACCCCGUGCGUUGUUGCGGGAACUCUUAGUACUUUACAUGAAGAAGCUUGUGGAGUGAAAAUAAUUGAAUGAUGAAAAAAAUACUUUUUAAAACCUUUGGUGGUACUUUUAGGAAGAUUAUGGAGUGAAAAUAAGUAAACAAUUAAUAUAUUUUUGAACCUUUGAUGGUAUUUUUUGAAUCGUGAGAGCAAUGGUAUAUCAGGGUAUCUCCGUAUUUGUGUAGUUAGAACGUGUCACCCUUUAGCGGGGAAUUAAAUGCAUCACUAACAUUAAAAAUAGAGCAUAUAGUAUGAUGGGAAUUUCACUGAAAACAUGGCCAGCCUAGUCUAAAGCUGAAUAUUACACUGAACAGAGAGUGCCAACACAAAAGCACUAAUGCUUGUUGAGUUCUUUGUAAUAUAGGAGCAGAAUCUCUUCGAAAGAGAAAUUCCAAAAUAUUAAAAAGAUCCAACAGUAAGACAUCCAUACACGUUACAGUUUAUACAUGGCGACAAGCUACAUACCAAUAGCUAAAAAAGGUGAAUAUAGAGUCAUGCACAUCAGGCCCUCAUGGCAUAGAUGCAUUUCUUCCACCAAAAGGACAUGCCUUCAGGGGAUUAGUGUAGCUAGGUGUGAAGAUCUAGACAUAUAAAUGGCAGGAAUGACUUCAUCUUCCUGCCCCUUCUAUGGCAAUAGAGGCCCGACUUCAAUUGGGAUCCGACUGACAUGUUGCUGCCUCUUCAUAAAAUGGAGUUGAUUGUUAUCUAAAAGCAAGGUAGGUAGCUUUGGCAUGGCCAGCAGUAGUACUUGCUACUUUGCCAGUUGUGAUGCAUCACAUGAGAAGGCAAGGAAGGCUGCGUGCUGCCAUGGCCGGACCCUUUGGGGUGCCAAAUGGUGUUCAAAUUUAUAGUAGGUUCCAUUUUUGGUGGGAAUCCAGGGAAAAGAAGGUGAUGGAGUAAGAUGACAAACCAUUCCCAUAAUACCACUCGAAAUCAAAAUGAAGAGGGUAAAUAAAUGUACUUACUAAGAACACAUGGAUAACAUACAACUGGCUACACAAGCAGCCAAACUUUGUAAGCCCACAGAACCUCAGGAAAUUGUGAAAACUAUUUCUGUGAGUAGAAGGUAAUGUAGUCCAGUUACCUUUCAUGGUAAUGCUUCUCUUGAGCCGAUUCUUAGGAUUCCUGAAGAAUGCCUUCUGUUUUCCCGAAGCAUGAUUCCUUGCUAGAGCACUACCUUUUGUUCUCUUGAGGUAAGGCGAAGUGGGAAAUAGAUCACUAUCAGCUCUAGUUUAAUUGCUUGUAUAUUACAAAAACAUACAAUUGAACAAUUAUCAGGAAAAGUUAUUACCUUAAUCGCGGCAACCCUUUGAGCAUGCAAUUUGGCGUCUUAGUGUAUAAUAUUCAUGUGUAAACAAUCUUGUUUUAGCACCCAGACUCUAUAAUUAAAAUUAAUAAGCUCUUUAAAAGUCGAAAGCAACUAUAUAGACCAAUACAAUUAAACAAAGCCAGCAGGUAGGUUUCAAAUUUGAAGUAGCAGGGCUCCAUAGUUAACUCUCCGGCAUGCAGGCAUUUAGUGUAGUAGAUCCAAGACAUACGUGUGAAAGAUUGCAUAUGAACAACAUUUAUUAGUAGGAAAAUUGUACUACCAUAUAUUGCACUAAAACUAACUGUAUCAAGAAGCCAAUAGCACGUAAUUUCAGCUUGCAAGAAAGCACCACUUACUCUUAAAGAUCGGUUAAUCUACAUGGCAACUUCCGGGGAUGGUGAUGGAUAAGUACAGUUGGAUCGUUUUUAGGUGUUAAUCUACUAUUAUGAAAAUCAUCUUCCUUUACUUUCAAGGGAGAACUGUAGAGGGGAAGGAACAACAUUCUUUUAUCUAAUGAUCCAUCACUUAUUCACAACUAUUGCAACAACCAACUAUGUUGGAUGCAAGGAGGAGGUGAGAGUGCAAGCAGCAUGUAUGCCACAUCAUGCGAACAGGUGGGGAUCAUGUUAAGUCAAUGCAAAAGGAUGUGUUGUGUGUCCGCGCACCCUCAGCAUCGCCGGGUAAAGUAAACUAAAUCUGGGGACCGGUGCUCUACCUUCCCAUCUACUUCUACUGGAAAUCACAUCCUCCACACUAAAUAAGAAAGACCGUUUAGGUCAAAGUAAUAGAGGGGAAAGAGACCACUCAUCUCCGACAAUGGCACGCGUGGCUUGCCUGAAGGUCGGGUUGAAUCCACGGUGUUGGGCUAGCGUAACACCCGCUGGCGGCGAUCAUGGGGCUCUGAGAUGGCGUCACCGUGUAGAUCUCUGGUGUUGUUGGCCAUAGACGGCUUUGUCGAUGGCGACACAUUAUGGAAAGAUGGAGAGAUAAAAGUGGGGAGGAGAAGAAUCAGGAAGACAAUAGAGAUUUAUUGGUGAAGGGGAGAUGAACAGAAUCAUCGGGCGAAGAGGUGAUGGCUCGUGUCCGCGUCCGUAUUUUCCUCGGGGAGGAAGGGAUGAUGCAGCACAGCUACGGUAGUUAUUUCCCUCAGUGAUGAGACCAAGGUUAUCGAACCAGUAGGAGAACCACGCAACACUAUAUAAACGGUACCUGCACACAAAGAACAAAUACUUGCAACCCGACGCGUAAGAGGGUUGUCAAUCCCUCCGGGGUAAAAGAUAGAUUGGUUUGUAGUAGAUUGGAUAAAUAGAUCUCGUGGAAACGCAAAAUAAAAUAAAUAACAAAAAAUUGCAUCAAGGUAUUUUGGGUUUUUAGAAUAAUAGAUCUGAAAAUAAAAGAGGCAAAUAAUAGAUCGGAAAGCAAUUUUGAUAAAGAAUAGACCCGGGGGUUGUAGAUUUCACUAGUGGCUUCUCUCGAGAAAAAUAGCAUACGGCGGGUAAACAAAUUACUGUUGGGCAAUUGAAAGAACUUCAAAUAAUUAUGACGAUAUCCAGGCAAUGAUCAUUAUAUAGGCAUCACGUCCAAGAUUAGUAGACCGACUCCUUCCUGCAUCUACUACUAUUACUCCACACAUCGAUCGCUAUCCAGCAUGCAUCUAGUGUAUUAAGUUCAUGGGAAAAUGGAGUGAUGCAAUGAUAAUGAUGACAUGACGUAAACAAGAUCUAUUCAUGUAGGAAUAGACCCCAUCUUUGUAUCCUUAAUGGCAACGAUCAAUACGUGUCUUGCUGCCCCUUCUGUUACUGGGAAAGAACACCGCACGACCGAUCCCAUCACAAAGCACCUCUUCCCAUGGCAAGAAAAAUCGAUCUAGUCGGCCUAACUAAACCAAAUAUUCAAAGAAGAAAUACGAGGCUAUAAGAAUCAUACAUAUAAGAGAUCAAAACUCAAAUAACUUUCAUGUAUAAAAUAGAUCUGAUCAUAAACUCAAACUUCAUCGGAUCCCAACAAACACACCGCAAAAAGAGUUACAUCAAAUAGAUCUCCAAGAGACCAUUGUAUUUAGAAUCAAAAGAGAGAGAGGAGGCACUUUAGGUACUGCCUACGGACCCGUAGGUCUAAAAUGAACUACUCACGCAUCAUCGGAGAGGCACCAAUGAGGAUGAUGAACCCCUCUGUGAUGGUGUCUAGAUUGGAUCUCAUGGUUCCGGAACUUGCAGCAGCUGGAAUUGUGUUUCAUCGACUCCCCUAGGGUUUUUGGAUUUUCGGGGUAUUUAUAGAGCAAAGAGGCGGUGCGAGAGGGCACCGAGGUGGGCACAACCCACCAGGGCACGCCUGGGCCCCCAGGCACGCCCAGGUGGGUUGUGCCCCCCUCGGGGCACCCCUCUGGUACUUCUUUGGCCCAAGUUGUUCCUUCUAGUCCAGAAAUAUUCUCCAAAAAGUUUCUCUGCGUUUGGACUCCGUUUGGUAUUGAUUUUCUGCGAAGUAAAUAACAAGCAAAAAAACAACAACUGGCACCAGGCACUAUGUCAAUAGGUUAGUCCCAAAAAAUGAAACAAAGUUGCUAUAAAAUGAUUAUAAAACAUCCAAGAAUGAUAAUAUAACAGCAUGGGACAAGCAAAAAUUAGAGAUACGUUGGAGGCGUAUCAAGAGGCAAUAAGGGGAAGGCGCAGCAAUCAGUGCGACGGUGGUAAAAAAUUACACGAUUCGUUCCGUUGAAAAGGGAAAAGGGAAGCAUUGCUGACGUGGUAGAUUUGCUUACGUGGAUGGCUGCAUGUUGAUUGCUGAUGUGGAUAGGCUACAUGUCAAGAGAAAUAUGGUAGUGGGGAUGAGCUAUUUAGGUAUUAUAGAUGCGCAACAUCACAUCUAAACUUUUUAUGAAAUUUCAAAACACGACGGUUUUUAAAAUGGAUAUUUUUUGGAACACAAACAUUUUUCAAAUUUAUGAAUAAAUUUUUGAAAACUUGAACAAUUUCUUGAGUCUAUGAACAUUUUUUUGAACACGAACUAUUUUUCAAAAUUUCAAAACACAAAUUUUUUAAUGCAACCUUUUUCAAAAUUUCAAAACAUGAUUGUUUUUAAAGUGAAUAUGUAUUAAAAUUCUAGACAAAAUUUGGAAGUUGAACUUUUUUGAAAAACACUCAAAAUUGUGGAUGUUUUCUAAAAACGUCAAAGAAUUUUGAAAAACAUCAAACAUUUUUCAAAGCACGGACAUUUUCUGGAAAAAUGAAAAAAAAAACAAAUUCGGAACAUCUUUUAGAAAUUUUGAAUUUAUGAAAAAAGAAAAAGAAACAGAAAAUGAAAAAAGAAAGAAAGCAAGGAAAAGCAGUGAAGAAAGAAAACAGAAAAAGGGAAAAAACCUGAAAAUAGUGUAAAAGACUGAUCCUAGCUACUUCGGCUGGUCCAUCUACGGUUUACUCGAUGCUCAUUUCGGAGAUUUCUUUUAGGGGUAAAACCAAGUUUUAUACAUCAAACACCAUAGUGUGUGGGAUAGAGUUUGGGUCGUGGCAUUUGCCAAACCAAACAUGGUGUCCCAGACCUAACGAAAGAGAAAACCUGCCUAGGUUAUGUGCUUCGACAUUUAAAGCAUGAUGUUUAGAUAAAAAAUUACAAUGAAAUAAAUAUGGUUGCAACUUGAUCUCAUUGAUAAUGGCUCGUUUCCACAUAGUUUGCUCACAUUUUUGAGAGAAAAUUUAGCCUUGAUGGGCUGGGAAAUUUGGCCAGCCAUCCUCGAGUGCGAGCGGCUUGUCUUUGUCUAGUAUAAGGCCCAUCACGUUGCCCAAGAGCCCACCCUUAUUGUUUUUCUAUAGGACCCAUAUAUGUUCGGUUCCUUAAGAAUGACGGGCCGCCUCCCACCCUCCCUCACCGGCUCGACAGCUCCCCCGCCAUCGGAACUAGGCCCUCGACCCUCCCCGCACCCCAAGGUUGCGAGCAUGUCCCUUCCCGACAUCUCUUCCACGUGGCCUCGCCCCACCCCACGUUCUUUCCCAAGUGCUUUGUCGAGUGUCGUGGAAAAAACUCUUGGAAAAAUAGUGGAACUCACGCAAAAUGUGCUUUACCGAGUGCUACACUCGGCAAAAGGGGGUAUGCAGGGAAGCACAAUCGUGCUUUUUUCCUUCUCGGGAAGCUGUGCUUCCCGUCGAAGGCUUCAUCAAAAACCAGAAAAAAAGAUUUUUUUCAUCAAAACCUAGGGAAAAUAAAAGACAAAAAACACGUGUAAUAAAAUUUAAGGGUGUACCAGCACACAACAUGUGGCAGCAGUUGGGCACAUCACUUGAUGCGCUCUUAGGGCCUCAAAGUAACCUCUGCGGGAACCCUGGACGAGAAACCCAUUAGAUCGUUGGAGUCCUCCUUGCGUCAAAUAGGUGUGGCCACAAGGGGAGCGCGUCCUGGUGGACCGGCCCAGCAGCCUGUAGCACUCUACCGCAAAUUGGUCAAAAUCUAAAACAUGACGUUUGAGCAAAUCACGCAUGGCUAGCAGUCAAGCUGAUGAAACUUUGCCAACUACUAGGUAGCGUUGAACAGUAAAAACUAUGUGCAACAUCACAUAUGAACUUUUUUUGAAAUUUGAAAACACGAUUGUUUUUAAAAUGAAUGGUUUUUGUAACAUGAACGUUUUUCAAAUUUAUGAAUAAAAUUUGGAAACAAGAGCAAUUUUUUGACUCUAUGAAAGCUUUUUUUAAACACAAACUUUUUAAAAAAUUUAAAACAUGAUUAUCAUUGUAAUGCAACCUUUCUUAGAUUUCAAAACAUGUUUUUUAUUGAAUAUUUUUUUUAAAUCCAAACAAAAUUUGAAAACUUGAACAUUUUUUAAAAGACUCGGAAUUGUGGACAUUUUCUAAAAAACAUGAAGGAAUUUAGGAAAACUUCAAACUUUUUCAAAGCACGAAUGAUUUUUGGGAAAAAUGAGAAAAAUCAAAUUCUGAACAGUUUCUGAAAAAAAAUAGAAAUGUUGAAUUUAUGAAAAAAAGGGAAUAAACUAUGAAAGAAAGGAAAAUCGGUGAAGAAAGAAAACAAAAGAAGGAAAAAACUAAAAAAUAGUGUACGAAAAAAAAUCCUAGCUACUUGGGAUGAUACAGAUGCAGUUUGCUCGCAGCUCAUUUCCCAGAUUUUUUUAGGGGUAAAACCAAUUUUUAAUCAUCAAACACCAUAGAGUGUGGGAUUGAGUUGGGGUCGUGGCAUUGGUUAAACCAAACAUGGCGUCUCAGACCUAACGAAAGAGAAAGACUGGCUAGACUAUGUGCUUCAACAUUGACAGCAUGACCUUUACAAGAAAAAUUACUAUCAAAUAAAGACGGUUGCAACUAAAUCUCGUUGAUAAUGGCUCGUUUCCCACAUAGUUUGCUCACAUUUUUUGAGAGAAAAUUUAGCUUUGAUGGGCUGGGAAAUCGGGCCAGCCAAUCUCGAAUGCGACCGACUCGUCUUUAUCAAGUAGAAAGCCUGCCACGUCGCCCAAGAGCCCACCCUUAUCUUUUUUUACAGGACCCGUAUAUGUUCUAUUCCUACAGCAAGACCGGUUGCCGCCAAGCCUCUCUCGCCCGCUCGACAGCUCCCCCCACCCCCAGGUUGCGAGCUUGUCCCAUCCCUCCCUCUCCUCUCCGCAGCCUCGCCCCACCCCGUCUUCUCCCCCAUCGGUGCUUUACCGAGUGUCUUUGUAACAUCCCAAAUUUUCAAUUUCAAAUGUUAUAUAUUAGAUCAUCAUUUGCAUAGCAUAUUUUAUUGCAUUUUGGCAAAUCCUCGAAAAUCCUAAGACACUCAAGGACCCUCGGAGAGAGUUGGGGAUUUUUUUUACCAAUUUUCAUAUUUGAUUUUUAUCAAAUAAUAAAACGAGGAUUUUUGGUUUUAAUUAUUUUUCUCUCCGAAAAAUAUUUCGUAUUAAAAUAAAUGAGAGGAGAAAAUAUGACUUCUCCAAAAUAAUUGAAAUAUUGGAGGAAAAAUAUUAAAAUCAAAUAUUUGAUUUUAUUCAGAUUUUUAUUUGCAAUUUUUAUUGCAUUAGAAAAUUUCACGUUUUCAAAACUGCAAAUUUUGGGCCAAGAAACUGUUCAUGUCGUCCUAAUUAUUUUAAUUAGACGGUCAAAAUUUGUUUUGGCAUUUUUGGAUUUUUAUUUAUUUUUCUACGAUUGUUUUUUGUUCGGCGGAAUAUUAUUUAAAAAAAUCCCCGCGCCCGACUGGGCCGAGGCCCAGCCGAGCCAGGCCGGCCCAUCCCGCGUCGCCAUAUCCCUCCUGGAGACCGGGACGAGCACGCCGCCGCCGCCCGACUCCGGGACGGCCACGCCUCCCCGGCGCCCCCUUCCCCAAGCCGGAGUAGCCCCCCCCACCUAUAUAUACCCCGCCUCGCCGCCGCCUCCCUCACCUCGCCCCGCCGACGCCGGAGCCGGAGCCCGAAGCCGCCACCGUCGCCGCCGCCGCCGCGAGGAGCCCGCCCUGACGCCGUUCCGCCGCCGCCCGCCGACCCCGUCGCCACCCGCCGCCUCCCCGUACCCCGCCCGCGAUCCGAAGCCCCGCCGGAGCCGCCCCGCCCCGCCCCGCCGGAGUAGCCUCGCCGGAGGUAACCGAAGCCGCCACCGCCGAGUCCGGUUUUUUUAAAACCGAUUCGGUUUAUUUAUUUUUUUCGAACCCUAGUUUUUUAUAUAGAUCGGUUUAUUUUUUUGGUUUUAUUAAUUAUUGAACGUUCACCGACCCGUUUGUUUUAACGAACGUGUUCGUCGGAUUGUCGCUGUUAACGAACGUCCGCUCGUUUAACUGUUCGUCAGUUUUUUUCGUCUGAUUUUUCCGCGGUUAUUCCAGAUCGCGAUUUCCGAUCAGAUUUUCAUUUUCGUUUAUCUUUUCGCUCGUUUAUCGGAAUCAGGCGAUUCAAGCGCCUAGAGUUUCGUCUCGAAAUUCUCUUUCCGUUUAACCCACUCAAACAAGUUUUUGCUACUGUAAAAUUUGACCUAGAUCCAGAUUAGUAAACGAAGCUUGUUUCUUUCGCCGCUUGAUUUUUGUUGCUUCGUUCGAUUUGAUUCUUUCUGCAAACCGGAGUUCUUAAGUUGAACUUUCUGGUUAGAUCAUUAUUUGAGUUUUACCUGUGCAUUUGAUGAGUGCCUAUUGUAUGCUUGUUUGUUUGCGAUAGAGUACCCGGAGUGCGCCGCUUGCUACUUCGAAUCUCUAAGUUUCACGGAUCAUCAGCAAGGCAAGUAACACUUUGAUCAUAUCUUUUACUACCCAGUUUUAUUGCAUUAGACCAACCUUCAAACAUUGCAUGGUUAGGAUCUAAUUAAAUUGUGGGUAUUGGGAAAUAGUUGAGGUAGUACCUAUUGCCCUGUUUAUUGUCAAACCCUUGGGAGUUACUUCUACGUUUGCUUAUAUCGCUGUGCUAUGCUAGUAGACGUGGAUUGGGUUUGAGAGGUAUUCACGACAGAUAUGAGAUUGUUAAUUAAUGGUUUACUUAAGGUGGCAACUAAAACUCACAUCUGGGUGGAUUGAGGCACCUGGAGAACCCAGUGCUGCCUGUAUUUUUGGAUAUCCCGGAGUACCCGUGUGAUCAUCCUAUGGACCGCCACCCAGGCUCAAAGAGAUCAUGAGAUUAUUCAUGCUAGAAACUUCCGUGUGCAGCCACAAGCUAUUAUGGGCUCUAGCAUAGUUGAGUAGGUUGUGUGAGCUCUUGAAGAGGUAGACUAGCAGAUGUAGGGGAUGUAGGUGGUACUGUCUACCCGGAGUAGAGAGUUAACGCUUCUGAAAGACUAUGUCUCGGAGGAGAUCGAGUCUUGUGGGGAAAAGUGCACAAACCUCUGCAGAGUGUAUAAACUAAUCAUGGUUAGCCGUGUCCCCGGUUAUGGACAUCUUGAGUAUCUAGUACUUGGAUUAUCAUGUGAAUCUCACCACCAUGUUACUUUAAUUAAUAUUGUUGGGUUAAUGAUGAUACUUAAUUGGGAUUGAGAUGCUGUCAACCAUCUCAAUGUUUCACAACCACCAUGAUAGUUAAAUAGAAUUUAUUCCUUUGCAGUAGGGAAAAUUGGCUUUUCGCAAAACUGUAACCAUAGAGCCUUCUACCAGCCAUAUAUGCAUGUAGUAUAGCAUUAUUAUGUUCAUUACUCUCUAUGUGUUACAUUGCCAGCAUAUUCCAUGUGCUGACCCGUUUCGGGCUGCAACGUUUUAUGUUGCAGACUUUUCAGACGACGAGUAAGGUGCCUUAGGUCGUGGUCUCAUACUCAGUGAUGCCGUUGGAGUUGAUGGACUCACUUAUCUUCCAAGUCUUCCGCUGUUAUCGUAUUUAGAUGGCCUUAAGCCGUAUUUAUCAUACUUUUUCUCUUUUGAGAUACUCGAUGUAAUAAGUGUGUGAUUGCUACUCUCUUAUAAAUCCUCCAUUUGUACUGUGCGUGUCAGCAUUACUGAUCCAGGGAUGACACUAAAGCACAGAGCACAGACUAUUUGAGGUCUGCUCGCUACAAAGGUGGUAUCAGAGCACACGCUGACUGUAGGACACGACCACUAAGCUUAAACCCUAGAACACUACUCUCUUCUUAUUUCUGACUCCUCUCCACUUUCUACUCUUUAGGAAUGGCGGAUGCAAGGAACAAGUUCAUGCAACCGGAUGAAGAUACACCUUUUGGACGACACUUGAAGGAAGUCACUAAGUACCUAAACAUCGGAAUACCAAGCUUCACCGGGACCCACAACGCCACACUACCAGAAGAGGAGCGCUGGAAGAUUCAAGUUCAAAUUCCUGGAAGGACGUUUACACCAGUCACUGAGCCUAUAGAGUUUUCCUUUGAUGCACCAACCUGGAGUUUAGGGAAGAGCAUGGCAGCCCACAUCUCUAUGGGACGCAUUGGAGAAGUCUACCGCAGGGAGCUUAAGGAUACUAUCUAUCAGAUUUGUGGACGCCGAGAUGAACAAUGGGAGAUGAUCAGCACCAAGAAGGAUGGAUCAAUUGCAGCUUUCAUCCAGGAGCAAAACCAACACAUUCGUCGCCAGGAGAACCGGAUGUGCUCAGACAUGAUAUAUCUGAAGAAGGCAUUGACCAAGAUCACGGAGUUGGAGGAAGAACUCAAGUCUACGCGCGAUGGAUAUGAGGAGGAGAUCACGUUGUUGGAGAAGAACGGCGAACUGAUACAGAAGAUCGAAGUAUUCAUGGGAGACUCAUCACCUGGAGGAGAAGAUGACGAUUCUACUUGCCCGAAUAACUACAUCAUCAUCAACGACACCGACUCAGACCCCAGUGAAGAUGACUUUAUUGAUGAAGCUGGAGCAGAUAUCCUGGAGUCUUCGACCGAUCAAAAUUUCUAGUAGACCACCAUAUCAGUAGUAGUAUUUCCCCAUGUAUAUAGUAUAGUCCGAGCACUUUUUUUUGUAACGAUAGUUAGAUCGAUUGUAUGCCUUGUUUGAUUUUGAUUGAGUGAUAUUGAUUGUGUUUGUAUCAUGAGCAUAUGGGUAGUGUUUUCCCUCUAGACCUCAUUCUAUUCUAAAUUCUCAUCUUUUCUAAACCUAUCAGAUGCCUCCGAGACGCGACACCGGAUUUGUUUUCCCACCGGAGAUCACUCAGUUGAUUCAGCAGCAGAAUGCCCUGAUGCAAGUGUUAGUACAGAACCAAGGCAACAACAACAACAACAACCCACCACCACCACCUGUUGAUCACUUGAGGCUAAAUCCGCCGGUGUUUUCCAGCAGCACCGAGCCGAUUGUUGCAGAUGAUUGGCUCCGCAAGGUUGGAAGGGAGUUGACCACUUCAGGAUGCACGGAUGCGGAGAAAGUGCGUUUUGCCGCACAUCAGCUUGAUGGACCCGCAGCGUCAUGGUGGGAGAAUUACACAGCCACACACCCUAUUGACACUGUCACAUGGGACCAGUUUCAGCAAGCUUUCCGUAUUGCCCAUGUUUCAGCAGGAGCUAUGGCUAUGAAGAAGCGUGAGUUUCGCAACCUACGCCAAGGAGGACGCACCGUAGGCCAGUAUGUGGAGGACUUUAGUAAGUUAGCACGUUAUGCUCCCGAUGACGUUGCUACAGAUGCAGCCAAGCAGGAGAAGUUUCUCAAAGGAUUGAAUGAUGAGCUGAGCAUGCAGUUGAUGGUAGCAACCUUCAACAACUACCAGGAGUUGGUAGAUAGAGCUCUCAUGAUUGAAGGGAAGCAACAGCAGAUUGAAAGCCGUAAGAGGAAGUAUGGACAAGGGAAGUACAAUUCUGGAGCUCAGCAGAAGCCACGUUUUACCCCGAAAUCGGGAGGACAGUUUCAGCAUACCCAUGGAGGAGGUAGUUCGCACAACCAUAGUGGACCCAAGAAGGGUAAUGGGAAUGGAGGAAGCAACGGGCAGAACCGUAAUAACCCAUCUACCCCAGCCAAGAGGGAUCUAAGUCACAUUACUUGUUUCAAGUGCCAGAAGACUGGACAUUAUGCAACUGACUGUCCUGAAGCCCAGAAUGGAAAUGGCAAUGGAAGCUCUGGGAAGAAGCCGAACCCUUUCAACAAAGGACAAGUGAACCACGUUUACGUGGAGGAGGUUGAAGCACAGCCUGAUGCAGUAAUAGGUAAGUUUUUGGUUAAGUCAUUUACUGCACUCGUUCUUUUUGAUACUGGUGCAUCGCAUUCAUACGUAUCAAGGGGAUUUGUGGAUAAGUAUAAAAUGCCAACCCAAGCCCUUAGGUCACCCAUGUUAGUAACCUCGCCAGGAGCAGAGUAUAUGGCUAGUUUAUGGUGUGAUCGGUUACCAUUAAGGAUUGGUAACUACGUGUUUCCCUCGGACCUAAUAAUAUUGGAAUCGCAAGGAUUGGAUGUGAUAUUAGGCAUGGAUUGGUUAUCAAAGUAUGAAGGGAACAUUGAAUGCGCCAGUAAGUCGAUUUUGCUUACCACCCCAGAAGGAAGGAGGAUUAAGUAUGUAUCCCGGCAUAUGCCGAAGAGGACUCAGGUGAAUUCCUUAUCAGGAGUUGUACAGGAGGAAGUACCAGUGGUGAAGGAUUACCCGGAUGUAUUUCCAGAAGAGUUGCCAGGCAUGCCACCGGAUAGAGACAUUGAGUUCUUGAUUGAACUUUUGCCAGGCACAGGGCCAAUAUCUAAGAGACCGUACAGGAUGCCCGCAAAAGAUUCGGAGGAGAUUAAGAAGCAGAUUAAGGAGUUACUGGAUAAAGGCUAUAUUCGCCCAAGUUCGUCACCUUGGGGAUCACCAGUACUUCUAGUAGAGAAGAAAGAUGGAUCGUUGAGGAUGGUUGUUGAUUAUCGUGGAUUGAAUGAAGUGACCAUCAAAAACAAGUACCCACUGCCGAUGAUCAAUGAUCUGUUUGACCGAUUACAAGGAGCUAAGGUAUUUUCCAAGAUCGAUCUAUGACCAGGAUACCAUCAGUUAAAGAAUCGAGAGCAGGAUAUACCUAAGACGGCUUUUACCACCAGGUAUGGGCUAUAUGAGUAUACUGUUAUGUCAUUUGGUCUGACUAACGCACCUGCCUAUUUCAUGAACCUGAUAAACAAAGUGUUUAUGGAGUUUUUGGAUAAGUUCGUCGUGGUGUUCAUUGACGAUAUAUUAGUCUACUCCAAGAAUGAAGAAGAGAGCAUAAGGAGCAUUUGCGUUUGGUACUUGAGAAGCUCAGAGAACACCAGUUAUACGCCAAGUUCAGCAAAUGUGGAUUUUGGCUGAAGGAAGUUGGAUUCCUCGGACAUGUUAUAUCCGGAGAAGGAAUAGCAGUAGACCCCACCAAAGUUGACACAGUAACAAGCUUGGAAUCACCCAUGUUAGUUGGAGAGAUCCGUAGUUUUCUGGGACUUGCAGGAUACUACCGGAGGUUCAUCGAGAAUUUCUCGAAGAUUGCUAAGCCCAUGACAGAGCUGUUAAAGAAGGACACCAAGUUCAGUUGGACUGAGGAAUGUGAAGCUAGUUUCCAAGAGUUGAAGAAAUGAUUGGUUACAUCACCAGUGUUGAUUCUGCCAGAUCAACGCAAGGAUUAUGAAGUAUAUUGCGACGCUUCACGUCGAGGACUUGGAGCAGUGCUUAUGCAGGAAGGAAGGGUUGUUUCAUAUGCUUCACGGCAACUUAAACCCCAUGAGAAGAAUUAUGCCAUGCAUGAUUUGGAGUUAGCAGCCGUAGUGCAUGCGUUGAAGACAUGGAGACAUUUUCUCAUCGGAAAACAUUGUGAGGUGUACAUGGAUCACAAGAGUUUGAAGUACAUUUUCACGCAGAAGGAGUUGAAUCUCAGGCAAAGGAGAUGGUUGGAACUCAUAAAGGAUUAUGAUAUGAGGUUGCAUUAUCACCCCGGAAAGGCUAACGUAGUAGCAGACGCGUUGAGCCGCAAGAGCCAUGUCAACACACUCAUGACUGGAGAGUUACCGAAAGUAUUAGCCGAGGAUCUUCACGAGCUAUGUUUGGAGAUAGUACCGAGAGGCUAUUUAGCAACGUUGGAGAUUCAGUCUACCUUGAUGGAAAAGAUCCGAGAAGCUCAAAAGACAGACACGGAGAUUGACGAGAUAAAGGAAAAGAUAAGCAAAGGAAAAGCCAAGGGAUUUUGUGAGGAUGAGCACGAUACCUUAUGGUUUGAGGACCACGUUUAUGUGCCCAAUGAUCCGGAGAUCAGGAAGUUGAUCUUGCAAGAGGCCCAUGAUUCACCGUAUUCGAUUCACCCAGGAAAUACCAAGAUGUAUUUGGAUUUGAAGGAUACUUUCUGGUGGACCGGAAUGAAGAAGGAUAUUGCGGAGUAUGUAGCAGUUUGUGAUGUAUGUCAGAGAGUGAAGGCAGAGCAUCAGAAGCCAGCAGGAUUGCUACAGCCAUUGCUGAUACCCGAAUGGAAGUGGGAUAAACUAGGCAUCGAUUUUAUCACGGGAUUGCCGAGGACUCGUUCAGCCUAUGACUCAAUAUGGGUUGUAGUCGAUCCUUUGACGAAAGUAGCUCAUUUCAUCCCAGUGAAGUCCACUUACACCAGUGCUAAGUUGGCAAAGAUAUACAUGACCAGAAUCGUAUGUUUGCAUGGAGUUCCGCGGACCAUUGUAUCAGACAGAGGAACCCAGUUUACGUCGAAGUUCUGGAAUCAGUUACAUGAAACUUUGGGAACCAGGUUAGAAUUCAGUAUAGCUUUUCACCCACAGACAGAUGGACAGACCGAGAGAGUCAAUCAGAUUUUGGAAGACAUGUUGAGAGCUUGUGCGCUAGAUUAUGGAUCUAGUUGGGACGACAAUUUGCCAUAUGCAGAGUUUUCUUACAACAACAGCUAUCAAACUAGUUUGAAGAUGGCCCCUUUCGAAGCUUUGUACGGAAGGAAGUGUAGGACACCAUUGUUAUGGGACGAAGUUGGAGACCGUCAGUUGUUUGGACCAGAUUUGAUUAAGGAAUCAGAACAGAAGGUGAAGUUGAUUCGCGAUAGGCUCAAGGUAGCCCAGUCCAGGCAGAAGAGUUAUGCGGAUUCUAAACGUAAGGAGACAGUUCACGAAGUCGGAGACAGAGUUUAUCUUCGAGUAUCACCACUUCGAGGAGUGAAGCGCUUUGGAGUUAAAGGAAAGUUAGCGCCCCGUUUUAUCGGACCAUACAGAGUUUUGGAGCAUAUGGGAGAAGUUGCUUACAAGCUGGAAUUGCCUGAAGGAUUGUCAGGAGUUCAUGAUGUAUUUCACGUUUCCCAGUUAAAGAAGUGCCACGCAGAGAUGGCUGAGAUACCACUGAGAGAUACAGUGCCCCUAGAAGCGAUUCAGUUGGAAAGUGACUUGACCUAUGAGGAGAAACCAGUUAAGAUUCUUGAGUAUGCCAGCCGAGUCACCCGCAGCAAGGUUAUCAAGUUCUGCAAAGUUCAGUGAAGUCACCACACUGAAGAUGAAGCCACCUGGGAGCGAGAGGAAGAUCUACGGAAGAACCACUCUCACCUAUUUUCUAGCCAACCCGAAUCUCGAGGGCGAGAUUCAUCUUAAGGGGGUAGGUUUGUAACAUCCCAAAAUUUUCAAUUUGGAAUGUUAUACAUUAGAUCAUCAUUUGCAUAGCAUAUUUUAUUGCAUUUUGGCAAAUCCUCGAAAACCCUAAGCAACUCAAGGACCCUUGGAGAGAGUUGGGGAUUUUUUUUACCGAUUUUCAUAUUUGAUUUUUAUCAAAUAAUAAAACGAGGAUUUUUGGUUUUCAUUAUUAUUCUCUCCGAAAAAUAUUUCGUAUUAAAAUAAAUGAGAGGAGAAAAUAUGACUUCUCCAAAAUAAUUGAAAUAUUGGAGGAAAAAUAUUAAAAUCAAAUAUUUGAUUUUAUUCGGAUUUUUAUUUGCAAUUUUUAUUGCAUUAGAAAAAUUUCAUGUUUUCAAAACUGCAAAUUUUGGCCCAAAAAAAUGUUCACGUCGUCCUAAUUAUUUUAAUUAGACGGUGAAAAUUUGUUUUGGCAUUUUUGUAUUUUUAUUUAUUUUUCUACGAUUUGUUUUUGUUCGGCGGAAUAUUAUUUUAAAAAAAAUCCCAGCCGAGCCAAGCCGGCCCAUCCCGCGUCGCCGUCUCCCUCCUGGAGACCUGGACGAGUACGCCGCCGCGGCCCGAGUCCGGGACGGCCACGCCUCCCCGGCGCCCCCUUCCCCAAGCCGGAGUAGCCCCCCAACCUAUAUAUAUACCCCGCCCCGCCGCCGCCUCCCUCACCUCGCCCCACCGACGCCAGAGCCGGAGCCCGAAGCCGCCGCCACCGCCGCGAGNNNNNNNNNNNNNNNNNNNNNNNNNNNNNNNNNNNNNNNNNNNNNNNNNNNNNNNNNNNNNNNNNNNNNNNNNNNNNNNNNNNNNNNNNNNNNNNNNNNNNNNNNNNNNNNNNNNNNNNNNNNNNNNNNNNNNNNNNNNNNNNNNNNNNNNNNNNNNNNNNNNNNNNNNNNNNNNNNNNNNNNNNNNNNNNNNNNNNNNNNNNNNNNNNNNNNNNNNNNNNNNNNNNNNNNNNNNNNNNNNNNNNNNNNNNNNNNNNNNNNNNNNNNNNNNNNNNNNNNNNNNNNNNNNNNNNNNNNNNNNNNNNNNNNNNNNNNNNNNNNNNNNNNNNNNNNNNNNNNNNNNNNNNNNNNNNNNNNNNNNNNNNNNNNNNNNNNNNNNNNNNNNNNNNNNNNNNNNNNNNNNNNNNNNNNNNNNNNNNNNNNNNNNNNNNNNNNNNNNNNNNNNNNNNNNNCGCUACGCCGGAGUAGCCUCGCCGGAGGUAACCGAAGCCGCCGCCGCCGAGUCCGGUUUUUUUUUAAAAACCGAUUCGGUUUUUUUUCGAACCCUAGUUUUUUUAUAUAGAUCGGUUUAUUUUUUUGGUUUUAUUAAUUAUUGAACGUUCACCGACCCGUUCGUUUUAACCAACGUGUUCCUCGGAUUGUCGCUGUUAACGAACGUCCGUUCAUUUAACUGUUCGUCAGUUUUUUCUUCGUCGGAUUUUUCCGCGGUUAUUCCAGAUCGUGAUUUCCGAUCAGAUUUUCGUUUUCGUUUAUCUUUUCGCUCAUUUAUCGGAAUCAGGCGAUUCAAGCGCCUAGAGUUUCGUCUCGAAAUUCUCUUUCCAUUUAACCCAGUCAAACAAGUUUUUGCUACUGUAAAAUUUGACCUAGAUCCAGAUUAGUAAACGAAGCUUGUUUCUUUCGCCGCUUGAUUUUCGUUGCUUCGUUCGAUUUGAUUCUUUUUGCAAACCGGAGUUCUUAAGUUGAACUUACUGGUUAGAUCAUUAUUUGAGUUUUACCUGUGCAUUUGAUGAGUGCCUAUUGUAUGCUUGUUUGUUUGCGAUAGAGUACCCGGAGUGCGCCGCUUGCUACUUCGAAUCUCUAAGUUUCACGGAUCAUCAGCAAGGCAAGUAACACUUUGAUCAUAUCUUUUACUACCCAGUUUUAUUGCAUUAGACCAACCUUCAAACAUUGCAUGGUUAGGAUCUAAUUAAAUUGUGGGUAUUGGGAAGUAGUUGAGGUAGUACCUAUUGCCCUGUUUAUUGUCAAACCCUUAGGAGUUACUUCUACAUUUGCUUAUAUCGCUAUGCUAUGCUAGUAGACGUGGAUUGGGUUUGAGAGGUAUUCACGACAGAUGUGAGAUUGUUAAUUAAUGGUUUACUUAAGGUGGCAACUAAAACUCACAUCUGGGUGGAUUGAGGCACCUGGAGAACCCAGUGCUGCCUGUAUUUUUGGAUAUCCCGGAGUACCCGUGUGAUCAUCCUAUGGACCGCCACCCAGGCUCAAAGAGAUCAUGAGAUUAUUCAUGCUAGAAACUUCCGUGUGCAGCCACAAGCUAUUAUGGGCUCUAGCAUAGUUGAGUAGGUUGUGUGAGCUCUUGAAGAGGUAGACUAGCAGAUGUAGGGGAUGUAGGUGGUACUGUCUACCCGGAGUAGAGAGUUAACGCUUCUGAAAGACUAUGUCUCGGAGGAGAUCGAGUCUUGUGGGGAAAAGUGCACAAACCUCUGCAGAGUGUAUAAACUAAUCAUGGUUAGCCGUGUCCCCGGUUAUGGACAUCUUGAGUAUCUAGUACUUGGAUUAUCAUGUGAAUCUCACCACCAUGUUACUUUAAUUAAUAUUGUUGGGUUAAUGAUGAUACUUAAUUGGGAUUGAGAUGCUGUCAACCAUCUCAAUGUUUCACAACCACCAUGAUAGUUAAAUAAAAUUUAUUCCUUUGCAGUAGGGAAAAAUUGGCUUUUCGCAAAACUGUAACCAUAGAGCCUUCUACCAGCCAUAUAUGCAUGUAUUAUAGCAUUAUUAUGUUCAUUACUCUCUAUGUGUUACAUUGCCAGCAUAUUCCAUGUGCUGACCCGUUUCGGGCUGCAACGUUUUAUGUUGCAGACUUUUUAGACGACGAGUAAGGUGCCUUAGGUCGUGUUCUUAUACUCAGUGAUGCCGUUGGGGUUGAUGGACUCACUUAUCUUCCAAGUCUUCCGUUGUUAUCGUAUUUAGAUGGCCUUAAGCCGUAUUUAUCAUACUUUUUCUCUUUUGAGAUAUUCGAUGCAAUAAGUGUGUGAUUGCUACUCUGUUAUAAAUCCUCCAUUUGUACUGUGCGUGUCAGCAUUACUGAUCCAGGGAUGACUCUAAAGCACAGAGCACAGACUGUUUGAGGUCUGGUCGCUACAGUCUUGGACAAAACUCUCGGUAAAAUAUUGGAACUCUGGCAAAAUGUGCUUUCCCGAUUGCUACACUCAGCAAAAGGGGGUAUGCACUGCACUGUUUUGGUUGUCCAGAUUGCAUACGGCCUCGAAUGAAGAUGAUUCCAAAACUAAAGUUUUUCAUUUUGACGAGAUGAUUAAUUUUCAUGUUCAGAACUUCUCCAUUUUAGGCCAUGUUAUUUACACUUUUUGCAGUGCCAAAAUAUGGUCUCAAAUGAAUAUGGCGGUGGUCAUAUUUAUUGCAUAGUUUCUAACAAUGGGCCUAAACUUGGUAUUUUGGUGCAUCUCGCCAUUACAAACGAUGAUGCCAAAUAGAGUUUCCAAUAUUUUGUACAAAAAAUAAUUUUCCCAUCUUCUAAGUGUAAAAAAUGGAUAUUUUGUGAAGCAGGUAAAAAAACAUAGUGCAAAAUGGCACCACCCCAAUUUUCAUAAAAAGUAGACCACAUGUUUUAGAAAAUUCCCAGGUUUUGUGGAUCUUCUAGAUUUCUAGCUACUUUCGCACCGCUAAAUUCAAAUUUGAACUUUAAGUGUGUGAUAGCUCUGUCCUAAAAAUUAGCAAAAAUGUAAUUUAUUUUAGGUAUGCAAGUAGUCAUUUUAUGAAUGACCACUUAAGUUUGAGAGAUUCAGCCCCUUGCCAUGACUAUCCAUGCCGGGUAUGUUGACCCCAUUUUGGAAAAAUGAAACAAAAAGGAUGCAAGUUCAAAAAAUGCAAUCCAUUCAUAUGGACUCCUUUUAUGUGUACUAGUUAGGAUGAAAAUAGCAAACUUCAAUUUGGAAACUUUGAAAGAAAAAUAUCCAUCACAAAACGGGUUAUCGUGUAUGAACCUUCACGGCUUUCAAGUCAAACGACCAAGGUGACGACAAUAUUCGUUGCAUAGUUUAUUAUAUUAUGCCCAAAUUAGACAUAUAGGUGAAUCAUGCCAUUACAAAUAAUGUUGCAAAAUAGAGUUUCCAACUUUUUGUGCAAAAAAAUCAUUUUCUAUUUUCUCAGUGUCAAAAAUGGGUGUUUCUUGUGAUGCGGGUUCAAAAAAUAGGGUGGAAAAUGGCACCACUCCAAUUUUCACAAAAAGUAGACCAUAUUAGAUGGACAAUUCCCAAGUUUUGUAGAUGUCUAGCUAAAACUAACAAUUGGAGUAUUUUUUAAUAUUUAGUGAAAAUAAAAAAUGGGAAGGGGGAUACUUAAUGGAUAGCGUGGACAUCUAAGGGUGUACCUUUAAGUGUUGGAGAUGCCUUUAUGUGCUGGUUUAUGUCGUGCUCAACCUGCAGUGUACUAGAGUUAAUCAUGUUGGGUAACGUUGCAUGGAAAAAUAAAAAAAAAUCUACGCACACGCAAUGAUCUAUCCAUGGAGAUGCAUAGCAACGAGGGGGAGAGUGUGUCGACGUACCCUCGUAGACCGAAAGUGGAAGUGUUUGACAACGCGGUUGAUGUAGUCAAACUUCUUCUAGCUCCGACCGAUCAAGCACCGAACGUACGGCGCCUCCGAGUUCUGCACAUGUUCAGCUCGGUGACGUCCCUCAUCUUCUUGAUCCAACAAGGCGUCGAGGAAGUAGAUGAGUUCCAUCAGCACGACGGCGUGGUGACGAUGAUGGUGAAGUGAUCCGUGCAGGGCUUUGCCUAAGCACCGCGAGAAUAUGACCGGGGAUGUGAACUAUGGAGGUGGGUGCCGCACACGGCUAACAAUUUAUGUUGUGUGUUCUAGGCGCCCCCUUCCCCACAUAUAUAUAGGUGGGAGGGGAGCAGAGGAAGCCAGGGGGCGCCCCAUGUAGGAUCCGAAUCCUACUUGGGGUUUCCCCAAGUGCCCCCCUUUCCUUUUUCCACCGUAGAAGAAAGGAAGGGGAAGAAGAGAAGGAAGGGGGCUGAACCCCCUCUUCUCCUUCUCCUAUUCGGCCACCUACCAUAGGGGGGCGCGCCACCCCUUGUGGGCUGGUGUGCUCCCCUCUCAUGGCCCAUAUGGCCAAUAUAUUCCCCCGGUGGUUCCGAUAACCCCCCCCCCUCCCGUACUCCGAUAAAUACCCGAUACAUUCCGGAACACUUCCGGUGUCCGAAUACUAUCAUCCUAUGUAUCAAUCUUUACCUCCCGACCAUUUCGAGACUCCUCGUCUUGUACGUGAUCUCAUCCGGGACUCCGAACAACAUUCGGUCACCAAAUCACAUAACUCGUAUAAUAUAAUAUUGUCAUCGUUAAGCGUGCGGACCCUACGGGUUCGAGAACUAUGUAGACAUGACCGGCACACCUCUCCGGUCAAUAACCGAUAGCGGAACCUGGAUGCUCAUAUUGGAUCCUACAUAUUAUACGAAGAUCUUUAUCGGUCGAACCGUUAUGACAACAUACAUUAUUCCCUUUGUCUAUCAGUAUGUUUCUUGCCCGAGAUUCGAUCGUCGGUAUCUGCAUACCUAGUUCAAUCUCGUUAUCGGCAAGUCUCUUUACUUGUUCUGUAAUACAUCACCUCGCUAACGGAUGGGUCUUGUCCAUCACAUCAUUCUCCUAAUGAUGUGAUCCCGUUAUCAAAUGACAACUCAUGUCCAUGGUUAGGAUCCCUUAACCAUCUUUGAUCAACGCGCUAGUCAAGUAGAGGCUCACUAGGGGCAUAGUGUUUGUCUAUGUAUUCACACAUGUAUUAAGGUUUCCGAUCAAUACAAUUCUAGCAUGAAUAAUAAACAUUUAUCAUGAAUAAGGAAAUAUAAAAUAACAACUUUAUUAUUGCCUCUAGGGCAUAUUUCCUUCAAAUCAGUAUAUGUGUGCAUGCUUGGUUGUUAGUGAAGUGUUUUAUGUAUAUGUGUGUAUGCUUGGUUGGGCCAACUUUGUGUAUUACAUUUUUGAAAUACAAACUUAAUAUAUGCCACAUUUUUGUGUUAACGACUAAUAAGUAUAUACAUAACUAUAUUUUGCCUUGUUUUUCCUCCUCUAGAAGAAAAGGUCCCACGCUUUUCUCCUCCUCCCAUCGGCGCCGUAGCUGGUCCGCCCCAUCUCCGAUGGCCUUUGGGCCACGAAGGUGAGUAGGACCUCAGGCCCUCGCUGGCGGGAGGGGACCCGUUCUCAUUCUUGUUUGGUUCAAUGUCUUGCUGGAGCUGUGUUACGGCUGCGAUGUAUCUGAGUAGGAGUAAUUUUUCACAUGUUCUAUCCCCGUCUCGAUGGUGCCUCUAGCGUCAUCGAAGGGCGUGUGGAGGUGUGUCUCUGUCGGAUUUCGCAGGAUUCGGUUGGAGUUGGUCUUUAGUGGAUCUGUUUGGACACGGUCUUUAUUCGUCUUUGUGGUGUUUAUACUAUUGAUCCUUCCGAUCUAUGACUUUCUUCAUCGACGAUGGUUGCUGCUUUGGUGGGCUUGUCCUAUGGGUCCUUAGCACGACAACUUCCUGACUAUUGACUACAACAAGGUUUGCCUGGCUCCAGCGACAGGGGGGGUGAUGGCGAUGCACAGCUGGCUUCAGUGCUUGUAGUCAUCGCUAGGUGGUCCACGGACCUGGUUGUAAUUUUUCGUAUCUCUGGUGUUCUUUGUACUGCCAUGAUUGAAAAUGAAUAGAUUGGAAGUUUCUCACGCAAAAAAUAACUAUAUAAAUAACUAUUUUAACAAAAUUUGCAAAAAGAACUAUUUUAGCAAGUAAUAAAUUUUGACGCCAAUUAUAUGGUAGUUAUUAAUAUUUCCCCUAAUAAUAUCCGCAUUGGAUCCAGGUUUUAUACUAUGUAUACAGACGGGAGGAUGUUUGGACAAUUGGGUGAACACAAGGAUAUAUCCUAGCAAAACUAUUUUUAGCAACAAGUAGUUAAUGAAUUAAUAUAUGCUAGCUAUACUCUACUGGUGAAAACAUGGUGUAUUAGCUGUACAAAGCAUGCAACACCGCUUCACUCCCCUUUAUAUUCCUGGGCAGAACACAAUUUCAGGUAUAAGUUUUAUGUUUUUCUACACACUCCCAUCUUCUUCCCAUAUCAGCAGGAAAAUUCACUCCAAUCAUCUCGCCAUUCUACACUUGGGAAAUCAGGUUUGCUUCAAUCUACCAUCCUUGAAUAUAUGCCCCACGUCUUAUUUCUACGUCCUAAUCUUAUUAAGCUUGUAAUUAGUAGUUAGUGCAAGAUCGAAAAGGAGCUAUGGGCAAAACACCAUCCGCACCUGCUGAUAAAAUCACCAUGGGACAAGCGGCGCCUAAUCAUGAAAUAGCAGCAGAUUCAAGUGACAGUGAGAGAACAAUCAGUGAGGGUUAUGUGGGGAUCAUGUAUGGUGGUAGCCAAACCAACGAUGGCAACCUGGAAGGAGAAUCUGCUAAGGUAUUGCUAGCAACAGAUUCAAGUGACAGCGAGAGAACAAUCAGUGAGAGUUAUGUGGGGAUCCUGUAUGGUGGUAGCCAAACCCAGGAUGGAGACCUAGAGGGAGAAUCUGCUAUGGUAUUGCCUGCUGUAGGAGAGAAUACCACGGCGAGAUCUAACAGUCAUGGUUAUACCCGCAGCUUGGAAAUUGAUUCUGCCUCUCGUACUGAGCGGCAUGCUGCCAGGUCAGAUUCUGUUCGAGUGGCACAGCGCCGAGACUGCAUGCAAAUUUACCCUGAGUGGCUGGAGAAAAUUGAUUCAGGCAAAAAGAUGUGGACAACUCUCAAACAAUUUCGAGCAAGUGGGAAGCAUGAAGAGGUUAGUAUAUACACAUGUUCUGGUGUGCUCUGUCAUCAAAUAAUUUUCAUUGUGUGUUAAUCAUCUCAUAACAUAAGGAGUGUUUGCUUGAUGGGCAUUCAGACCAAAUGAUGAACGAAUUAGAUCCUUUUUCCUUUGAUCAAAAACACAUGGCAUUUUUUUAUCAACUAGCCCAUCCUUUUUCUUUGAUCUACUAACAUUGGUUUCAAGUUAUUGUAGAAGUUUCUUGUAGUGACUGGUUAAAUAAUUCACACAUGUUCGUCUAUUUAUGCUAUGUUAUACAAUCUAUCCGAUGAUGAAUAUCCAUUUUUUCUAAAAAUAGUGCAUCUACCUCUAACUAUUUCACAGUCAACAAUCCAAGCCCGAGCCCGGCUUGGCACGGCUCAAAGCACAUGGACAAUGGCUUCUCAAUUUAACUAAUUAUAUUCGGGAUAUUAAAAUGAUAUAAUAUACCUAUAUUUUGAAUAAAAUAUACAUUUGUUGCCAUUUCGGGCUUUUGGGCCGGGCUUCGGGCGAGAAAUUGAAGCCCAAGCCUACCCCAGAUGUCGGGCUUUGCGCUCGGGCCUCUUGGCCGGGUAGUCCAUGAACAGGUUUAGUUUGAUCUAUUCACUCACAUUUUGAUCCUCGUUCAUUAUAGCAUUUAACCAUAAUUCAUAUGAACAUGCACCAAGAGAAUAUAAUAAAGAAAAUGGGUCAAUUUGUGGUAUACAACGCCUUAUUGUGCGACAUCACAAGAACAUUUUUCUCCUUGAUUACAGUAGUAACUAUUGUGCAAUCUUAUAUGUCAAAGCAUAUAUUAUAUGACAAAUUAAGUAUAUUGUUUUGCUUAUUUCAGUAUUACCUUGACAAGGAAUAUAGUCACAAAUUUUGCUCCAAACGCAGCGUUAUUGAGUUCAUACGAAAUGGAUCUGUGAAAGGGAAGCCGGUUCAGAAGGUGCCUAAAUACUUGACUUUCAAACAUAUAGUAAUUAUGCGAAGAUGUAUAUGUUUUUUGUAUUAACUUUAAAGUAUUAAUUUGACACGGUAUCCUAUUUUUGCACAGAGAUCAUCUGAUACUACUACGAACAAUCUUCAGGGUAUGUCCAGUUGGCCCCAUGCAUUUGGAUAUUAUUUUGUCUACUAUUAUUAUUAUAAAGAGAAAUCUAACUGAAACUGAAAUAUAAUAAAUAUUAAUGGAGAGAAAAAUACACAUUAAUGUCCACAUACACAACACAAUUAGCCAGUACUAUCCUAGUUUACAUGAAUUAAUAUUUGCAAUGACAUUUAGGUUAGUCAUGACAUGAUAAAGAAAUUUUUUUUUUGCGAGGUAAGAUAAGGUUUUAUAUAACUGUUCAUGGGGACCUCCUCAUGGUUGCAGAUACAUAGUUUUACAGUGCUUCAUGAAAUAGUUGCAUAUCAUCAUGUCUAAAGAAGAAUCAUGACGGACACAACUUCAAGAAAUUCUUCUUGAAAAUAACAUAAUGUGUAUAUACCUCAUAGAGGAUGUAACUUGUUGGUAGCAUUUAAUAUUGUGACACACUCGCCAUCUUCUAUGCCAGCAUUAUUUGGGUGAUGAUUUAAUAUCCAAAAGCAUACAUCAAGGUAGUUAUGUGUAAUGAUAUUCUUGUGAAAAUAACUUCCAUAGUGUAUACUUGCAUAUAUGUAUUGUUCUAUUGUAUUCUCACAGUUAAUCAUUUUUCUUAAAUUUUUUUUGUUUAUUUAUGUUUAGAGCAAGAUUAUAAAUUAAGCUGAGCAUAAUUUCUGCAGAUUAUAGAUGGCCCACUAAAAGACAAAGGACGAAGGCGCAAACUUCAAGUAAUUCUUCUUGCCACAUAGGUUUUUCUAAUUGUGCGAGGAUACCACUUGUAACUGCCUUUAGUCAUCUAUGUCAGUAGUAUUUUGAGAAGAAUUUCAUUACAAAAUGCAAUGACUCAAAUCAGAUUGUUCAUGAUGAUUCCUAAUUGUAUAACCAAUAAGCUUUACACACCUUCCUAUUUUAGAGUUGUUAUCUUAAUAAGUAUAUACUAUAUGUUAUUAAUGUUGUUGUUGGGUGAGGAACAUUUGGUGCUCACGGUUAGAAUGUAGAAUUUUCUUAACACAACAAGCUAGAGCGAAUGUGGAGGCCAAUAUAGAUUGAAACCAUUAAUUCAUAUUAAAAUGGUCAUGACUUCUUAUUUUUAUUUGACAUAAGUGUUUGUGACUUGUUUGAAUUAAUGUGUUCUGCAAUUAUAUGAUACUUCUAUACUGAUACUAUUUUUAUGAAAUGUGCAGCUAGUUUGUCGACAGGAGCACGAACAACCACAACUUCUACAAAGCUUCCACAUGGUUUCAUCUAGUAUCAUGCGAAAAACAUUGAGACAAUCAAGAUUACUUGAGCAACCUAAAUUAUGUUAGUUGUUACCUGCUUUCAAAUGAAUGUGUCCUCUCAUAGUAUGCAUGUACUUCUGUUGUUGAGGAAUUUAUAUCAUUAGACAGUUCUAUUAUUCAUAAUUAUUGAUUAAUGGGUACAUACCUUCAAUCCUGGAAGAUUGUGAGAUAGCCAGUCAAGGAAGCGAUUUGUUUAUUGAAUUGUGCAUAAUAGGGACAUUUUUACAUUUAAAGGAACAUCGUAGGAAUAAUUUGGUAUUUCGAGAAGAUUUUCCAGUCCCCUGCCCCAACCUGCUGGAGACAGUAUGAGUGCUGACACACACAUUUGUAACGUACCAGCAAGCUAGUGCAGUAGCUUCAGUCACAUGCUCUGGAAGCCCAAUUUGGGUCUUCCUUCAGAAGGCUCAUCAAGGCCAUCAUCACACCAUUCUAGUUAGUUACUUCUGCAAUGAUAUAUGUCCGUGAGAAAAUAAGAAGCUAAGGUUCUAGUAGACUUAUAAUCCUCUAACAGCACCACGUUGGAUAUGCCCGCACAAAUAAAAUAACAUGAGUGGAGUCUAUUUUGUAAGCACAUAUCUUGUCACCAGUCAACUACUAGUACAGUAAGAGCAUCAAAGAGGAAUUCAUUUCAUAUAGAAUAGUCGCAUACAUAUACUUCUGUUCGGCACAUACUGCUCAUUAUCAUGGACAAUGAUGUAGCUAGCUAAAAUGGAGCACGUGGCUAUAUAUAAUGUAAGGAGG
Molecule: long non-coding RNA, 34177 nt
Filed under: Triticum aestivum (bread wheat)
Lineage: Eukaryota; Viridiplantae; Streptophyta; Magnoliopsida; Poales; Poaceae
Description: long non-coding RNA (TAES_LNC017439)
Source: RNAcentral